Macrobrachium nipponense is the source of this 1174-nucleotide long non-coding RNA. RefSeq lists it as uncharacterized. Lineage: Eukaryota; Metazoa; Arthropoda; Malacostraca; Decapoda; Palaemonidae. The transcript is spliced from 3 exons. The record is from RefSeq and is a predicted model, not a curated record.
GAGAGAGAGAGAGAGAGGACGAUUCGAAGGUAGAUUGCAUGCCACUGCUUCCAAACGCCACUCCCUCCUUUUCACAGCCACCAAUCGCAGAAGCUACGUCACCUCUUUGCCCUUGAACGUGGUGAGGCGCUUAGUGAGUGAGAAAGUGAGACCACUCCGUUCCAGAGCCGUAUAUAGCUACGGCUCUGCUCCUUAGCCUGCUGUGACAGUCUUCCCCAGUGCAGCCACGAACAUCAGAAGAUUCCUACAAUCGAGAAGAAGCGUCUGGACAUUAUUCCUCUUCUCCACUAAGGUUUUUUUGGGAAGAUACCCGCCGGUAUAAGAUGAGGUUCCUAAGUCUGACCUUUUUGGUUAUGCUUUCCUCUGUGUCGUUCAGAGAAGAAGCUUUAGGAACGUCUACUGAACAGCCAAUUAUUGCAGAAGUCCUAGAAACACGCGUCAAGCAUCAGAAUAGUGAUCAGGCAAGAUUGAUUGUUGCAGAGAUCUUCUUUAGUCACGAGUGCAUCAAAGAUUGUCAGGAAAGAUCUGAACGUGGUUCCUGUGAGGUGGACACAGACUGCUGUGCUCGGGAGUUUAAAGGAGACUCUUACCUGUCUUGUCUUUCCAGUUAAAGAACGAUCAGACAGAUUGCUGACAGUCGCUUAACUUCACUUGACUAAGGAGUCUUUAGGCUGAUACAGAAAGUACUCUUGGGGUUCAGGUUAUAUAUUAAAAGCCUUAAUAUAUGUACCAUAGUGACAGGUAAUAUUUAUUGUAAUUUUCAUCUUGGUACCAUAGUUUCAAGCAAUUUUGCAAUGUGCUCUUUUUUUCAUGUUGGUACAAUAGUUUCACAUCCUAAUUUAAUGUAAUCCUCACAUUGGUAACGUAGUCCCAAAUUCUGUUCAUAUUGUAAUUUUCAUGUCAGUACCACAUUUAUCUUAUAUGCCCAAUAAUUAACAAAGAUUCCGAUUUAGUUUAUAGUGUGUGUAACUUUUGCUUCACUUUCGGUAUCCAGUUUAAUAACUGAUUUUGUGCCACGACUCUGAUCAUUUAAAAUUUCAAGCUUCAUAUUGGGACGUCAGUCACAUUCAGUAAUCUUCAUUAAUUUAUACCCCAGUUCCUCAGUAGCGACGUGAAGUUAAUUUUGACAUUGGCAUCAUUAGCCCUGUAAGGCAGUUUAGUCUAUUGUUUUGAU